UAAAGUAGGGAAGAGCGUAUGGCGGAUGCCUAGGCACAGAGAGGCGAAGAAGGACGCAGCAAACAGCGAAAUGCGACGGGGAGCAGUAAGCAUGCAACGAUCCGUCGAUGUCCGAAUGGGGGAACCCAUCCGGGAUAGAGACCGGAUAUCCUGCAGUGAACAGAUAGCUGCAGAGAGGCGAGACUCAGGGAACUGAAACAUCUAAGUACCUGAAGGAAGAGAAAAUAAAAAUGAUUUCCUAAGUAGCGGCGAGCGAAAGGGGAGGAGCCCAAACCGAUUUUAGGAUCGGGGUUGUAGGACUGUCAGGAAAGAGCAAGAAGGCAUUAUAGGCGAACGGACUGGGAAGUCCGGCGAGACAGGGUGAAAGCCCCGUAGCCGAAAUAGUGAAGAAGCUUGAGACAGCACCUGAGUACGGCGGGACACGAGGAAUCCUGUCGGAAUCUACCAGGACCAUCUGGUAAGGCUAAAUACUCCUCUGUGACCGAUAGUGAACCAGUACCGUGAGGGAAAGGUGAAAAGAACCCCGGGAGGGGAGUGAAAAAGAACCUGAAACCAUAUGCUUACAAGAAGUUAGAGCCCGUUAAAGGGUGAUAGCGUGCCUUUUGUAGAAUGAACCGGCGAGUUACGAUAUGCAGCGAGGUUAAGCAGGAUAUGCGGAGCCGAAGCGAAAGCGAGUCUUAACAGGGCGCUAGUUGCAUGUCGUAGACCCGAAACCGAGUGAUCUAGCCAUGACCAGGUUGAAGUUGGGGUAAAACCCGAUGGAGGACCGAACCGACCCCCGUUGAAACGUUGGCGGAUGAGUUGUGGCUAGGGGUGAAAUUCCAAUCGAACUCGGAGAUAGCUGGUUCUCCCCGAAAUAGCUUUAGGGCUAGCGUCGAGAGAGAGUCAUGUGAAGGUAGAGCACUGAAUAUGUGAUGGCCCCAUCCCGGGGUACUGAAUAUAAUCAAACUCCGAAUGUCACAGAGACAUGCUCGGCAGUCAGACAGCGGGUGAUAAGGUCCACUGUCAAGAGGGAAACAGCCCAGACCAUCAGCUAAGGUCCCAAAAUAUAUACUAAGUGGAAAAGGAUGUGGAGAUGUCCAGACAACUAGGAGGUUGGCUCAGAAGCAGCCAUCCUUUAAAGAGUGCGUAACAGCUCACUAGUCGAAUGACUCUGCGCCGAUAAUUUACCGGGGCUAAGUAUAUUACCGAAGCUAUGGAUUUGCGAUGAGCAAGUGGUAGGGGAGCGUUCUAUGAGCGAAGAAGCAGUACCGGAAGGAGCUGUGGAGCAUAUAGAAGAGAGAAUGCCGGUGUGAGUAGCGGAACGUGGGUGAGAAUCCCACGCACCGAAAACCCAAGGUUUCCAGAGGAAGGUUCGUCCGCUCUGGGUAAGUCGGGACCUAAGGCGAGGCCGAGAGGCGUAGUCGAUGGACAACAGGUAGAGAUUCCUGUACUUACGGUAUGAAUGAAGGAGUGACGGAGAAGGCUAGGUGAUCCUGCGGCUGGAAGAGCAGGUGCAAGCGAGGUAGCAGAUAUCCAGGCAAAUCCGGAUGUCGAGAAAGCGAAGGCGUGAAGCGGAUGGAAAGCCAAGGCAAGUACAGAAGUCAUUGAAGCCAGCUUCCAAGAAAAGCUUCUAGUGAAAAUCAUACAGUAACCCGUACCGAAAAUGGACACACAUGGGUGAGGAGAGAAUCCUAAGGUGAGCGAGAGAACUAUAGCUAAGGAACUCUGCAAAAUGACUCCGUAACUUAGGGAGAAGGAGUGCUCAUAGAGAUAUGAGCCGCAGUGAAACGGCCCAAGCGACUGUUUACCAAAAACACAGCUCUAUGCUAAGUCGAAAGACGACGUAUAUGGGGUGACGCCUGCCCGGUGCUGGAAGGUUAAGAGGAUGUGUCAGCGCAAGCGAAGCACUGAAUUGAAGCCCCAGUAAACGGCGGCCGUAACUAUAACGGUCCUAAGGUAGCGAAAUUCCUUGUCAGGUAAGUUCUGACCCGCACGAAAGGCGUAACGAUUUGGGCGCUGUCUCAGCUGUAGACUCGGUGAAGUCUUAGUACCUGUGAAGAUGCAGGUUACCCGCGACUAGACGGAAAGACCCCAUGGAGCUUUACUG
RNAcentral lists this ribosomal RNA (2089 nucleotides) under human gut metagenome. RNAcentral describes it as "bacterial LSU rRNA". It matches the Rfam family "Bacterial large subunit ribosomal RNA", at positions 1 to 2106 of the family's 2925-position model. The record is from RNAcentral.